Molecule: long non-coding RNA, 3436 nt
Organism: Setaria italica (foxtail millet)
Lineage: Eukaryota; Viridiplantae; Streptophyta; Magnoliopsida; Poales; Poaceae
Exons: 4
Source: RefSeq, a predicted model, not a curated record
AUAUUAUCAUAUAAAUUUGGUCAAACUUGAGAUACUUUGACUCUCCAAGAUUCUUGGAAUGACUUAUAAUUUGGGAUGGAGGGAGUACUGUGUAUAAUACUCAGACCUAUAUUUAAGAUACAGAAAACAUUCAUCUGUAUACUGGCAUAGUAACAUGUCAAAACACUCAAAUCUUAAAACUAUGGAUCAUUGUUUAUUUUUCAAAAUUCAUGUUCAUGAUUGAUGUUACAUGAAUUUUGCCUUUCUGAAAAGGAGUUUAAAUUACAGUUCCCUUCCAUAUUUGUUGUGUACCUUUAUUGGAGCAACUGAAUGGUUUUGUUAGUGAUAAAGAGUUCAUAAGAAAAGAUGAGAUAGACAGUUAAAAAGGGAUGGAGAGUUGAACACCACUGUUUCACUUUUGUACAUAUACCUUUUUUAUUGGCAACUCCACUGUAGCUGGAAUGCUUUGUGCAUGUGCAACUCAUUUUCUCAUCUUAUGUGGAUACCUCUUCUCAAUUUCUCUUUUUUAAUCUUGUGGGUUUAUUACUAUGUGAGUAAGUGCUGCUUCUUUUAUUCAAGAUCUAUGUUUGACUCAUGCAAAUAGAUCAAUAUUUUUUCAUUCAUUUUGCACUUAGAGUUGGCAUCACAUUCGUGUUUGCAAUAUUCAUGACACUUGACCAUUGUCAAGCAUUAUGUUAACAUCAGAAACAGUAGAAUCAAAGAAUGAUUUACAGUUGAGAGGGUUAUGAAAAUUUAGGGUUUGAUUAACUACUCUCCCACUCACACCAUUGAACUUUAUGGAUGCAGUUGAUUUACUAUUCCGAGUCAUCUCUGCAUUGAAAUCAGGUUUCUCUGGCUGCUCAUUCUUUGUUUUUCUGAAGAAUUUUAGAAAAUUCGAGACACUAACCGUAGAACUGUUUCAUGAUCAAUCCAGCUCAGUUUUCUUUUCUUUUUCAGUCUCCAGCCUAACCCGAACUUUGUUCUGGGUUUUCCAGACUGUAUCAAGAAAUGUAUACAAUUAUAUGUUCAUAUAUCACAUGCAAAUCAAUAGAAAUACUGGAAAUAGAUUAUCAAAAUGGUAAAAAUAUUAUUUUUCAGCAUUUAACUAUGCUUGUUUGGGCCUGAUGACCUUUCUAGGUUUGUCUUUUCCACUUUUGCCUGAGCUUUUGUUUCUAAAGGACCCUCUGAGACACACUUUGCAUCGUUGAUUUGUUGAUGACCGAUGGGAAGAAUGAAUCCCACCUACAGGUUAGAACCAAAAUGUGUACUGCAGGUGCUUAUAAUGCAGCAUCCUGGAUGUGCUUGCUACAAACAUCGAGCCAUUGACUUGGUGGAAGAUUGAUUUCAACUUCGUGGCUAUAUUCUGAGAGUUCUUGUUUCUGGUAGCUUAGCUACCACUUGGCUGUUACCGAUGAGCAUUUGAUGUUAGCAAUUGUCCUGUCUCUUCGUUCACCAUCUAUCCUGGACCUUUGUUAUUGUCCUUGAGUGAUUGAAAACAUUUCCUUGACUACCUCACCCUCACAGAUACUGUAGGUACAGGAGGUAAGAGACCUUGUAGUUGCUGAUCCAAUUCUGAGAGAUAUAGCACCCAGUCAACAUUUGACAGGAGCAUUCCUCCUUAAAUUAAUUAAAUUUGCAACACGAUGUACAUGUUUAUCAGUAAUGUUUUGUCAUGUCAUCAUUCAAACAUGAGAAUAAGCAACAUGGUGCUUACUGCAGAAUAUCUAAUCACUGACUAGGAAGUUACUCACAUGUUGGACAAGAUCAAAUGCAAUACUAUUUUGGAAUGCUGCUAAUUGGAUCAUGGAAAUGAGAAAUUGAGAACUGUGAUGCUGUAUAUCUGUCAGGUUGUAAUCUUUUAUUUAAUUCAUUACUGCCAAAUUUUAUUCAGGCUCAGAUGUUUCCAGCAGCAAUAGAAACAACUACUCCCUCCGUCCCACAAAGAGUGCCCUUUUAGACUGAAUGAACCUGGCUGCCCAUGUUCUCCAUUGGUGUGAGUGGAACCGGAAAAUGUGCUGCAGGUGCUUGGAAUGCAUCAUCCUGAAUGUGCUGGCCACAAACUUCAGCUCAUCUGCUUGCAAUGAGAAUGCCUCAAACUCAGUGAUUGUUCUGACAGUUCUUGUUGAUGAUGGGUAGCUGUCACCAGAGCUGGGAAGCAAUGCCCAUGUGAGUAAUUCCUCGCCGCAGAAAUCGCCUGGUUUUAAGAUGAUAGAGUUGAAGAAAUCCGUCCUGCCACCAUCAGUUGUGCAGCUCUCUAGCUUCCCACGAAAUAUAAAUGUCAUCACCUUCACGGGUCCUCCUUCGUGGAUAAUGUAUGUGCCCUCAGUACAAAGGAAAUAGGUCAUAUGCUCACAAAUAGCGUCAAGUAGUUGGUGGUCUAUUGCAGAGAAGAGUGGCACCUAAAAUUUCAAUGGAAAGAUUAUGGUCUGGUUCCUCAUUCAAAUAUCAAGUAGAAAUGUAAAAUAGAUGGUUGCCAUUAUUGCAGAAUAUGUUAGCAACAACCAGAAUACCACUUACACGUUGAACAAGAUCAAGGCAUAGCCACUGUUUUAUUUUUCGACGAAGAUCAACAGGUAGCUGUUUCAGGAUCGAGUCCUCUUCAACUCCCUGUGUUGAAAUCCACUUGUACUCCAAGAACUAGCAUAUGCGAUUUUGCAAAUCAUCAGAUUGGACCAAGAUAAUAAAAAACAGAGGUGUCAAUAUGUCUGAAGCUCAAAGAUGGUAGGAUUGCCCACACAAGGAUCUGCAUAUGUGAGGAAGGUGCAUUAGUUAGUAAUUACACAUCUACCACUUUCUUCUGAUUGCGGCUGUGCUUCUUAUAACAGACACGCACCAGCGGAACUGGUAAUGCUGCUGCAAGGUCGAUGAAGAAAUUCGUUCUGAUGUAUCUGUAUGCAAUCCUUUUAGGAUCUGUGACAAGCUCACCCUUGCUGAGCACUAUUGAGACUGGAUCAAUAUAUGCAGUGAAAAAUCUUGUGGCAAUAUGGAUUACGAAGAACAUGUCGAUAAGAGUCCGGAGAUAUGUGAGCACGAUGGCCAAAUGUCGGUCUAUUUUCAUGCAGGGGUAUGCGCUCUCAACUUUUUAGCAAGAAGAAAAAUAGAGGAUCGACGCAGUGAGAAGCUAGACAGGAGAUGAGGACGGCGCGUUUCCAUAUCAUUACAGUGUUGCCUCCAGGGUCGAGAAUCCACUAUUGCCAGCAUGUCCAGUUUCUAGGGCAACCCUUUAACUUGUAAAUUGUAUGGUUUCCUGUUGCGUUAGCUGAACCUGUGUCUGUGUUCAGUUCGCCUCGUCCUUUAUUCUUGCUUGGGUUAAACCUGAGGAAUUCAAAUUCAAUAGAAAACCAUGUAGUACUUUCGAAGGUAUAUAUACUACUACAUUUGGAACCUCACUGUAAAAUUGAUUCCAAGCCGACUAUAUUAGGUCUACUAUAAACAGAAGCUAAGUUGCACUUGCUUA